RNAcentral lists this ribosomal RNA (468 nucleotides) under uncultured bacterium. RNAcentral's name for it is "partial 16S ribosomal RNA". It matches the Rfam family "Bacterial small subunit ribosomal RNA", at positions 28 to 507 of the family's 1533-position model. The record is from RNAcentral.
GACGAACGCUGGCGGCGUGCUUAACACAUGCAAGUCGAACGGAAAGGCCCUGCUUUUGUGGGGUGCUCGAUUGGCGAACGGGUGAGUAACACGUGAGUAACCUGCCCUUGACUUUGUGAUAACUUCAGGAAACUGGGGCUAAUACCGGAUAGGAGCUCCUGCUGCAUGGUGGGGGUUGGAAAGUGUCGGCGGUUGGGGAUGGACUCGCGGCUUAUCAGCUUCUUGGUGGGGUAGUGGCUUACCAAGGCUUUGACGGGUAGCCGGCCUGAGAGGGUGACCGGCCACAUUGGGACUGAGAUACGGACCAGAAUCCUACGGGAGGCAGCAGUGGGGAAUAUUGCACAAUGGGGGGAAGCCUGAUGCAGCAACGCCGCGUGCGGGAUGACGGCCUUCGGGUUGUAAACCGCUUUCGCCUGUGACGAAGCGUGAGUGACGGUAAUGGGUAAAGAAGCACCGGCUAACUACGUG